UCAAGCUAGAAAAAGUUUGCAGGAUUAUGGAAAUACAUUCUUUCUGAAUGCUUUCUUUCCCACUUCAAAUCCCAGCCAUCUUUAAAAGCAAGGUGACAGCUCUCAUAAAAGAGAUUUUUCUUCUUCUCCGCUGUGAUUUGAUUUAGAUCUCCUCUCCAGUGACACCGAGCCUGCCAGCCUGUGUAAAGCCCGGAGAUGCCUCCAGCAGGCAGUCCACUAAUGACUCCGAGUUGCUGUAAGAUACAUACAGAGAGAAAGAAGAGAAUUAAGCACCCAUUUCAUUGGCCCAUCAGACAGGAGUCGCGAGCCCCACGGGGUCAGUGUGGCCACUCCACUGCCAACCACCUUCAUUCCUAAAGCACAACAUAUGGAAACUGUAGGGGUGUUCUUGGGGAUUUAUUUGAAUAGCUCAUAUUUGCAGUCUGCAGAGUUUGAAAAGUUUUUUCCUUUUAAUAGGAUGUUUCCUCUUUUCGGUAUCAGUUGCAAAACUGCCUAAAGUCACAGUCACAUGUCAAAAUCCUGAUGCCUGCAGUUAAUGAUUCUCGUUUUCAUUCCAACAGUCUCAUCCACUUAACGCCCUCAUUGCUCGGCUACUGCUCCCGCAUUCACACGUCUACGUCUCGUCAGCGUCCCAUGGCUUUCAAUGGAAUAACUCUGUGGUCACACACAUAGUGUAACACAACUACCAUCUCCAUUAUACUACAUGGACUUUACUCCUCCAGCAGCAGUAGAAGCAAAAAAACAGUUAAGCAAUUUUUAUUUCUUUCCUGUUAUAGUUUUCCCCUUCAAAAUACUUUACAUGGGUUCAUACCACAUAUAGCCGUGAACUUUUAAAUAAAAUAACCAAGUUAAUAGACCUUUGCUUUAGCAGUAAGUCUGGAACUCUCACAGUAUGGGCGCUUUGAGGAAAAUACUAUCGUGAGAUUCAGCGGAGUAGGAAAGUCAUCAUUAAAUUAGGUCACCUGUGCCAAAGCAACACAUUAUUACUUUAUGGGAGAUGUUUGUGAUGGAGGCUGAGGUGUUGACUCAACAGGCCUAACAGAGCUUGACCUGCAUGUGGUGGUGCUGCAUACAGCCAACAAACCGAAAUGUCAUCCUGCAGUUCCCACACUAACUGCUUCCUAGAGACGACUGUGUUGGUAAAAUGCUGAUGACUAGUUAAUAUAUUCAUUAUUAUAUUUAAUAAUGGUAAGUUAGGAACUUGGAGACUUAACUGAGACUAAGACCCUAUUGCAGUAGGUGCAUUAGAGACAUCUUGGAACCAGCAGCCCGGUCUAGUCUAACCCAGUUUACAUAAUAGACAGAGAUGGCAAAUUAAAUUCCAUCCUUUUGCCCAGGUUCACACAGUUGAAACACACAGUUCAGAUGGGCAAAGGGGCCACCACAAUGGAACAGGACCAAAAACUGUCCUGUAAAUACUUACGCACACUCUUGGGAAUUAACGUAACUUCACACUUCAAGCCACUUCAAGGAUUUUAAUGAUGGCACAAAUCAGUUUCUCCCAGGUGUUAGAGUAGUUAAGCACAAAAUUUACUUCCUUUGCUAUGAGCAAAACCAGCGUUCAGCACUCCUUGCAGCAGGAAGCGGAGAAGUGGAUUAAAAUGGUCUUCGUUUUGUUAAAGGAUGCACGAACUCUUCUUUAGGGACUAAGGAUCUUUCUGGCCACCAGGACUAUCUGUACCUGGAAGAAAGUCUGUUGGUUUUUUAUGUUAAUUGUUGUUAUAUAUAGUUAUAACCAAGAAAAAGGACAUCCAAAGCCAGAAUCAAGAGCAUUUGUUUCUUAUAGACGUCCUUGAGUUGUACGAUAUAGAAUAAGGAGCUAGCAAACAAUACAAUGCCUUAGUCAUGGGUGUAGAUCAUAGUCUGGAGAGCAGAAAGGAAUUCAUUCCUUUUCUCCUAAAAAUAUACCUAAAUCUACCUUACUCUAUGGAAAGAGAGUGCUGUAACCAUACUCCACAAGGAAAACGAAUCUUCACAUCACUCAGAUAAAGCGGUUUCCAUACCAUACUUUGAGAUACAUAGAAACAUGGCCCCAGGAGAUUAGAAAUGUAGAGCAGAUGAGAUGGCUACCGAGCAGAGCCAGGGGAUGUACAGAAGAAUCAAAUUAAGUUUGCAUAUUCAUUUCCCGAUUUCACAAUUUCAGAAACAUUUUUAACACAAAAGUGAAUGCAUAGGUGUGUACAAAAGAUUAGUAAAUUCUGGAAGGUUGUGGACAUUUUCAUUAGUUUAGGUUAGUCUCAUAGGUCACCUAGAAGAGACAAAACUAACGAACAAAACCAGAGGGAGGAGCCUGAAGCCUUUGUCUCCACUUGCAAGUUCCCAUCAAAAGUGUACAGAGCAACAUUUCUUAUCCCAGAAGGCAUCUCAAAGGGGCUGCAGACAAACACAGAAGAGCCGAAAGAGCAAGGAGGGGACACAAGUGGCACCAGCUGAAGAAGGAAGAAAGAAGAAAUAUUAAAUCCUCAAUACACUUUUAUGGGCCUGCUUUCCUUUUCACAAGAAAAGGCAUUUUUUCACAGCGAGAGGUUUAAAGAAUUCUUUCAGAAAUUCCACACGGUCCUAAGGAGACUGUUCCCCUUAAAACUCUGAAAGGCUAUUUUUCAUUUUCCUUUAGCUAUUUCCAUUUUUAUCAUUCCACUUUAUGGCUAGAAAUAUGUACUUGGCAGGAUUUGCCAACUCUUACAAACACUGAACCUGGGGACCACCUUGUCCUCUACAACUGACAGACUAACCAAGGGCCACUGAACGUCCACCAGCGAAGGACGGUGUGAGAUCUAAAGUGAAACCUCACGUAAUUCAAGUUAACUACAAAGAUACACUGUGUGUAUUAAUGCUACCCCUUCAAGAAGCAUUGCUGUCAUAUGCUCCCUGAUGUCCAGUGGUAAGAACUGAUUUAAUAAAUCUGAUACCUUCACAUCUUCCCCUCCAUUCAGAUGUUCCGCAUGCCACAGGAGAGGCUGCUACUUUCAGAGUUGUUUUAAAAGGCUGACUUUUCCUUUUUCUUAAUGUGCCAUCUUCUCACUCACUCAGCCUUCAUUUAGCUGUGAGAUCUUAGAGGCAUCAGACCCACACUAAAGAGAAAAAUUAAGUCCCAGUAUCUGAUCUACCCAUUGAGAAGAAGAAAAGGAAGAUUAUAAAAGGGAUGUCGUGGAGUAGAAGAACAAGUUAAUUAUUUUGUUUUACCACAUUUUUAUACUAUCUCCACAUCUGAAGAAAAAUCUCUUCCAUCUAUUUGGAGUCUUCCUGAUGCUCUCAGAAUGAAAUCUGUCAUGGAACAGAGCAAUUAUUCACCACUUUGAUCUCCUUUCUCCUUAACUGAGAACUGAAGAAAGAUUUCAGUACUGACAUGAUCUUCGAUGGGCCUUGUCCAAAGCUCCUGGCCCUUGCACUGGGGAACAGGGCUGCAAACUUCCUAUAUAUCUACAGUAUAAAUCACACCGAGAAGUUCCUGUUCAACAAGGAAAAUGAUCAUAUAAUUCAAAUCUUUCCCAGACAUUUUCAGUUUGAGCACUUUUACUAUUUGGCAUUACUUUUCUUGGGCGUUCUCAGCUUUAAAGUAGCGUUUGGCAGCACUUCUUUGUAUUAAAGUUCUAUUGGUACCUAAUGAGAAGUCUUGAUCUAUUAUAAUAGUGAAAUAAGAAAUGUUGACACACACCUGGGAAAGAAGAAGCGUGGAAAAAUAAUUCCUGGAUUACUCUUGGAAACUUUCAGCACUAUGUAAAAGGAGAGAAGAAAGAGGAGUGAUGCCUGGUUUGAGAAAUGGCCUUCUAUCCAGAAUUGUGAGAUGGGUAAGAGCUAAAGAAUGUGCUGACAAGCAAAUGUAGAGAAAAAAUUGAGUUUGUGUAGCAUUCUGAAGAGUUAUACUACAGCUUAAGCUUAAACUUGGGAACUGUUCAUUAUUUCUAGAAGUGUAGUAAGGAUCAGGCACAGAUGAAUACGAUACAAGAUCCAUUUAAGAGACAUUAUCAUAUCUAUCUAAUCUACGGGGCAUUAAAAAAACACCUCUUUACCUCUCAGACACAGUAAAUAACCUUCAUGUACUCCUGACGUGAAGUCACCAGAUGGGUCAUAAUGGAACCAGUACCUUCCACCUCUGUAGGCGAGCAAACGGCCUCCUUUCAAGCUGAACUCUCCAGAAAGAAGAGAAUUGAAUUACCUGAGUGCUGAUCCACUUCAAAGGAUGUUCUUUAUCAGAGGCGUAAUCAGAUUCUGCUGCUUUGAUCAAGAGAAUCUAUGAACCUGCUCACUCGAUCACAAGCGCUGCUAUUUGCCACAAACAGAUAACUAAUCCAUUACAGGACAUACAUCUGCUCUGAGUGACGUUCCUGAUGGGAGAGGAGGAACGCAGAAUGCAGAAUUCCCCUCAGGAAAGCAGACCAAGGGAAUUCCAAUGAGACAGAGGGAAGAUGCUCAAGAUCGAACAGGAGCAACUGCUGGUCCAUCUCACUUGCCACGCACAGACCUGUGUUUUCAAAGCUUCUGUCGCCUUUCUUCAAAGGGCCAGGAUCUUCUAGGCAUUUCUCAGACACCUAUGUGAAGUGGAUGCAUCGCUUCUUCAUGGUUCCAGGGCUGCCAUAAUUAGUAUUCUACCUUUUCAGUAAGAAACGUACAAACGGAUUGAGGAAUGAACAGAAAAUAUUCUAGAAACUCUAUUUUCAGACUAUUCUUUCAAUCUCUGCUAAAUUUUUGCAAGCUGGCACAGGUCUUAUCCCAGGUAAACUUACUUAAAACUCAGGCAAAUCCUCCUAUUUUGUGGAGGGAAUGAGAGAGGUAACGUAAAAAGGGAUUUGACUGUAAUAAAGGAUAUGGAUAACAGAGUGAAUUUUCUUGUUUGCUCUCUUUUAAAACACAUACAAGAGUAAAGUGAAUUUAAAAGAAAAGGCAUAAAUAUAAAACACAUUCAUGAAAUUUUUAAAAAACAGUUAUUAAACUUCUGGAGCUCAUGGCAAAAUGACAAAUUUGAGUCUGAAACAUGAAUGAGAAUUAAAAAGGAAUUAGAUAUUUACAAGAACAUCAUUACAAAGUAAGCAGGUUAAGUUGUUAUUAGAAGGGAUCCAAGUCCUCAUCAGCCUAUUUCUAAGCCAACCAUGAUUCCAGAAAGGGUUACCGGACACUUUUCCCUGUAGGAACAGGUUAUUCUGCAAGGCCCAGCCCUGCUCCAUCAACACCAACCAGCUCCCCAUUGAGGUCAAAGAGCAGGAUCACGUCACCAGGUUCUUUCUUGCACAACCCUGUGCUGCCUCUGACACUAAAUGUGAUUGAUGGCAUGUUUGAUUCUCUAUGCCAAUUUUUGUAUCGUAUUGUGGAAUGAACCACACUGCUGCUAAAAUCAACCUCCAUUUCCAUCUAUAUCACAGCAAUUGUUUCUCUCAUUGGCAAGCCACACGAGCCUUGUUUUCUCUUUAUCAGCAUGAGGCCUCAUUCUCACAAAUACAAUACAACGUCCAAGAGAUGUAAUUUCUACACAACCUGCCUUAACUCCUUCCACAAGCAAGCCACACAUUUUACAGUCAAGAUAUUGCCGGCAAGAAAUGAGAACUAGCCUGAAUAUUUAAAGAUCCAGCGUAAUAGUUCACAUGACUCAUAGUACUAGGCUGUAGUCACAAGAAAAUUCAACUGUAAUAAUUACAUCCAUGUGCUAAGCGCUCUCACUAUCGUAUUAUAUGAGCAUCUUUAACAUUCAGGCAUACAGGAAAUCUUUGUCAUUAACUAAAUCUGAGUAAUUAAAUACAUCCUAGUUGAAAAAGUGCCUUACAUCUCCUGACUGAGUUCUGCCCAGACACACAAAUGCCCUCCUCCCACUUACGAGUAGUGUGAUUCACAAGAGAAAACAUACGUAUAAAACCCCACAACUAAAACCACACACAACUUACAAGUGCUUUUCUUCUAAUUCUAAAACGGACUUGAGGCUGAAGUAGGAAAGAACCUGAGGAGAAAGUUCUGAGAGCUAACGAGUACCAAAAUAAAGGACUGCAAAGAAGCCAUCUUCGUAGCCUUCUCUACUGUAAACAAUUCAAAAAUCUAAAUGUUUGUCUCUUCAAAACUUCAUAGUUACCUAUAUCCGUUUAAAAUGAAAGUAGCUUUUUUUUUUUUUUCAUUAAACUCAGCUGAAUUAGGUCAAACUUUAAGUUCAUAUUUCAUCAUCACUUGGCCUUUGCGUAAUGGCCAGUCAUGAGCGGAGUUUCUCCACCGCAAGCAGGACAAGAGCAGAGAUGAAGGCAGCCCUUGGAACACCAUCUCCUCCCCUUCUGCCUCGAAUCGUCAGCGUAAGAUGGACAAAUAACGUGCCUGAGGUCCUGCCGACCCUUUGCUGCAUCACUCAGAUUCCCGCAGUUUACUUUUUUGAGCAUCUUACUGCAUCUUUGGAUCAGCCAACAAAGAAAUGCCUUUUGGACACAGCAUGUGGUCAAAUGAAGAUUCUGUUCAAAGUGACAUGAAAUCAGAAAUAUUGGCUAUAUAACAGAUAUUGUCUUUUUCUAUACCUCUGUUCUUCAUUGUCAGUAGUCGCCAUAACUGAAGAGACACACUCACAAAGAAGUAAGAAAUGUUCAAAGUGGGCAACAGAUGCUUUAUUAGAAGGCAAACCUUUCCCUUUUCUCUGUUCAUUUUAUCCUAACACCAGCAGGUUUCUAAGGGGGAGAAAAAGCACCUUUGAAGCUUUUUUUUUUCCCCUUCAAACUGCUGUAUUUUUUUAAAAAGGUCCUAAUUUCAAAUGCUUUAGUGAAGUCUGACUUAGUGCUCCUGUGCUACAAAAUAUUUCAUGCUUUAAUAGUAGGAUCACUACCAGUUCUCCUUUAUAUUGGCAUUUUUUCCUGGUUAUUAAUUGGACAGACAAGUCCCAGUUAUUGGUAGAUGCGGAAUUCCUCUCCUCCACGACCCAAACGUCGCUCCUUUUGGGUGGAUCUUGGACUUGAGCAGCCUGGGAACACUUCACGGGUUUGUUCCACUGUCCUGUAUGAAAACAGCUUCUGCCUCCACACGCCUAUGAAAUUUCUGAUGUUAACACCUCAAAAUACUCACUAUAUUAGCGUGUACUCAGGCCAACCUCUUAACUGAAUUCAGCUGGAGUUCUGCUCCACCACCAAACAUGGAAUUGGAUCCAAAGAAAAGCAGCUGAACUGGGUAAACCUUGUUCCACCAAACCCAUCUGUACCCACCUUGGCGUUGCAAAUGCCAACCUCACGUCACCAAAAAACAGCGUCCCUGGAGCCCUGUUGCACACACACAUUUCUUCACACUGCGUUGAAACUUGGAGUUGCUCAGGGUAAUUAUAACAUGGGGAAAACAAAUAGCAGGACCAGCGCGUUCUUGUAUUCCAUGUCAAUGAACAGGGAAUAGGCAUAAACAGGGCUUAAUGCCUAUUUAUGAGCCUACGGAGGAGCCCCGAGGAUGGGGUGUACGGCAGCGUUGUGUAUAUGCUCUCCAUGGAAGCACAGAAAUUGCCGUUCAACAUGCAAGUUUUGUUUACACCAGCAAAAGUAUCAAAGUAGCAGUUGACUAACCAGGACCCAGAGCCAUGAAAAAAGAUGAGCUGUUCGGAAAAGACCGCAGGGACAAUCACUAGAAUAUCAUUUUGUGCAGCACAUCCCAUUUGAUAUCACUACAACUGCAUUGCGAAUGAACACUUUAAUUAAUUAACACCCAUUCGAGUUACACGUCCUAUUCGAUUGCCGAUCCGCAACUCAACCUCCGAAGAGCUCAAUACAUCUGAGAACAUGGAAAUGGGGACACCAGAAGCAGAUUGGCUCUGUUCUGAGGUGACCGGGCUACCUGGGGGAGCCAGAAGCAACAAGAAACCAGUCUGAGAAACCAGUGAGGGAAGUGGACAAAGCAACUCGCGGUGAUUUUUUUAAGAACACAUUUAUCAGGGAUCAUUUUUUUCUGUAUUGUACUUAACAUCCCUGUGCCUCCCGAAAACAACAAGGCAAAGCUUUAAGGAGAAACUUCUCCCUGCAGAAGAACCAACUAAGCAGUGGUAACCCGGAGGAAUCUGCACAACCAUGAGGCUCAGCAAACCCGGGAUCAACCGAUGAACUUGCAGACUGUUCUGAGUCUUCUAACUUUAAGUAGAGGCACUAAUGUAACAACACCCGUCCAGCACAGUCGUCUUAUUGCCCACAAGCUGCAUUUCUUUUCAGCAAGGAGUGACAACUUAAAAACCAGAACAUACAAAAUGUAGAAUGAAUGUUUUCACCUGACCAUGGUCAUUAUUACAUUUUUCCAUGGAUAUAUUUGUAACACUGAAGUAUCCGUCUCAGAGGAGAAGAAUUUCUGUUUUAUUCUAUUUUUUUACGCUCAUGAGAAAUUAAGAUAUCAGUCUUCAUUGCUGUUUAUUCAUAUUUUGUGUUUUAAGCUUUGCACAAAUAGAUCAGAAGUAAUACAGCAACGCAACAAUUCUAACCAAUAGCAUGAAAGAAAGUAAAUUAUCUACAGAAUGAGACCAUACAUUUGACUAUUGAAAAUAUGUAUUGAAAGGUAUCUUUCUGAAGAAAGUGAAUGAACUUAGAAAAUUAAAAUCAGUAUUACAAGAGGAGGACAAAAAUGUGAAGGAAGAUCAGGAGAGUGCAUUACACUACCUGUUCUUAUUGGAAUAUUCAAAGCAGAUGUGACAAAGCACAUUAGGAGCUGUUGUCAGCUCGGCGGCCACUGCUGCUACCCCAGAUAUUGGCACAAAAUCAACUUUGGCAACCAUUGAUAAGCGAGAGCUGGGGAGGAAGAGGAGGAUGUAACAUCGGGCAGUGAAACACGGUGCAACCGCUGGGCUGCUCCCCCUGAUAGUUCAAUAAUUCCUCCUGCUGGAGAGGAAAUAACAUGAAUUCCGUUUGGAAAGCAGGUCUCGAGUGGCAACAAAGAAAGCAACGGUCAAGCUGCAAGAUAAAUAUGCAGCAAGUGGAAAAAGUGAUUUAGCUGCACUUUGAAAAAAAAAUCCAUUAGGGCAAAUAAAUUAAAUCCUUGACCUAUUAAAUGGAAUGGGAUUUUAUUUUUAAAUCAGAAAGGCCAGCAUUUGCCUAGACUAUUAUUAUUUAUUCACAUAGAAGAUGCCACAAAGUGUCUAAUACAGGGAAGGGAUUGGGACUUUAUGUUAAAUUCCACCUAUGAGCAUUCUGCCUCCUGAAUUUCUGUGCUUCGGUAUUGAGCGAGUUUCCCAACGGCACAAACAGGGCAAGAAUUUACUCAGACAAUAGAACCGUUCGCUUCAGGGUUUGUCUGUACAAUUUAAAGGUUUCCAUUCUCAUGUCUAAACGCAUGAGCAAAACCCACUUGCAUUUAUAUUAUAUUUUAUUCUAGUAGCUGCCCUAUCCGGAUUGCACUGAGUUGGACCUGAAUGCUGAGGUUUGGAUGCACCCAAGUAGUGAAACGGGGCAUUUGAAGAGGACAGAGAUGUUCCCGUGUGCCAUCCACCGCCGAGAACCAGCUUUUACUCAGCCCCGUGUCUCCGAUCCUGAGAGACGGGCCCUUGCGCUGACGUGAUCGCCACCGGUAUCAAACAGCCCCAACAGAAAAGAACAUCUCUCAUGUAAAUCCCUGCAGAAAACCAACAGAAAGGCCCAAGAAGGUUAAAGGCUACAGCUUCUAGAGCUCUUGUUCAUACCAAAGAAAAAAAGGAAACAGCGUUCAAAAGUUUUAUUCUUAGGCCGUUUUCAACAAUUCCCUUUAAAAAAAAUCCUACUUUUACCUUAUUCAGAAAGUUCACAAAUAAAGACUUGCUUUUUCUCUCUCUGUA
This is a long non-coding RNA of Columba livia (rock pigeon), 9724 nucleotides long. RefSeq lists it as uncharacterized. The transcript has 2 exons. NCBI's taxonomy places the organism in Eukaryota, Metazoa, Chordata, Aves, Columbiformes, Columbidae. The record is from RefSeq and is a predicted model, not a curated record.